UACGGAGGGUGCGAGCGUUACUCGGAAUCACUGGGCGUAAAGGGCGCGUAGGCGGCCGGGCAAGUCUGGUGUGAAAGCCCAGGGCUCAACCCUGGAAGGGCACUGGAAACUGUCUGGCUUGAGUUCCGGAGAGGAGGGGGGAAUUCCCGGUGUAGCGGUGAAAUGCGUAGAUAUCGGGAGGAAUACCGGUGGCGAAGGCGCCCCUCUGGACGGGUACUGACGCUCAUGCACGAAAGCGUGGGGAGCAAACAGG
This 253-nucleotide ribosomal RNA is filed under the name uncultured microorganism. RNAcentral's name for it is "partial 16S ribosomal RNA". It matches the Rfam family "Bacterial small subunit ribosomal RNA", at positions 524 to 776 of the family's 1533-position model. The record is from RNAcentral.